GCGAAAGUGGCGGAAUUGGCAGACGCGCAGGAUUCAGGUUCCUGUGGCCGCAAGGCCGUGGGGGUUCAAGUCCCCCCUUUCGCACCA
This 87-nucleotide transfer RNA is filed under the name Myxococcales bacterium. Its description in RNAcentral is "tRNA-Leu". It matches the Rfam family "tRNA". From Rfam's summary of the family: Transfer RNA (tRNA) molecules are approximately 80 nucleotides in length. Their secondary structure includes four short double-helical elements and three loops (D, anti-codon, and T loops). Further hydrogen bonds mediate the characteristic L-shaped molecular structure. tRNAs have two regions of fundamental functional importance: the anti-codon, which is responsible for specific mRNA codon recognition, and the 3' end, to which the tRNAs corresponding amino acid is attached (by aminoacyl-tRNA synthetases). tRNAs cope with the degeneracy of the genetic code in two manners: having more than one tRNA (with a specific anti-codon) for a particular amino acid; and 'wobble' base-pairing, i.e. permitting non-standard base-pairing at the 3rd anti-codon position. The record is from RNAcentral. Lineage: Bacteria; Pseudomonadati; Myxococcota; Myxococcia; Myxococcales.